UUACAAGGCCCUAGGGUCUAUAUUUAUACCCUGCUCAAAGAGCUACAACCAGACACGAUUAGAAUUCGAAUUCCAAAUUACACGGAAUCCGUAUACAAAUUGAUGCAAAUAAUUAAGGAAAUAACAAAACUAUCCCUCGUGACAAACCGAAACUCCUCCACAUAACGAUCGGCAGCUUCCGGACUCCCUCUUUGCAUCAUCGGCAGACCCUUUGCCAUAGUCAUCGGCAGACUUUCUUAUCUAGCCAUCGGCACCAUAUUACUGCCUGCGGACUUAGUCACGUUCAACUUCUCCCUCAUCGGCAACCAUCCUCAUCGGCAACCCACUUUGUAAACAUCGUACUGCCACCUUAUCCUGCCAUCCUAGACACGUGCCCAAAAACGGUGUCAACAAGACCGUAGCACCGAGUCAAGUGUGGAGAGAGAAGAUAGUUAUAGCCACCGGAACCACCGACUACGUCACCUAGCGAAUCCCAGGACAAUUGAAAACAUAAGGAGUCCCGUUCGGAAGACUUAAAAACACCGAACGCCUUGCCAAGAGGUAAACUUGGUAGUUAUCCUUUUUCUUUCAAUUAUUCAAUUAUAGUUUGCUUAGUUAAUCAGGUUCAUGCUAUCUUGAAAAGAAAAUAAAAAUGUUAAAAAAAUAGUAAGCCCCAUGUGAGUAUGCUCAUGGUAUAAAACCCAUAGGUACAUUCACUGUGGUGGCAUAAAAAUAAAAUAAAUAAGUUUUCAUCUUACAGUAAAAAUAUAAAAAUAAUAAGUGCAUGAUCCUUCUAAAUAAGUAAUAUUUAUUAAGGAGGCUCAACAUGAUAAAGGCUAGAUAUUUAUGCUAACACUUAACCAGUUCCACAAAGCUUUGUUGUCUAUUUGAGCUCCACAGAAUUCAAGGAUCAAAGAAGACUAGCAGACAGAGGACAUCCGAAUCGCUGUCAGGGUGCUGCCGACUUUCAAAUACACCUCCACCACCUGCUAGUUACAUCAGAAGUAAUUACGUCAAAAUCCAGCUUGGGGGAAAGCACCCCCAUUUAUCCAGCUAAGUGUUUCUACUCGCGUUUAUACUUUACUCAAAUAAUAAAAGAUGCAUAAUCAUGAAAACCCAAAUAAAGAUUUUGUGCUUUUAUAUAUAUAUCUUUGCUUAGUUUGCUAAACAAAUAAAUAAAGUUUGCUAUCAACCUUCAUGAUAAGCUCUCACAUGGAAAUGAUAAAUAGUUGCUUUGCCAGGUACCUAGUUGUCAAAAUUGAAAUCUCUCUCAAGUUUAGGCAUGACUGUUAUGAAGUAAGAUUUGCUCUAAACCUGAACCUGUGGGAAGAGUACUUGAUCUAAAGUCUAAGUCGUUAACGGAUAUGAUAUGGAAAGGUUGAGCUGCUGUUUAUCUGUUCCUAGAGAUGCUAGAAUUUUAGAGAAUUUUAUCUUUGAAAAAUCUUUAAAAUAACACAUGAUGAGUUCAUAUAUGAUGAGAGUUUAAAUUCCUACCACAGCCAUAUAUACAUGCUUGCUAGACUUUGAGCCACAUAUUUACUUUACUGCUUAUGAGCAUUGAGUGUGGUCAAGCUGUGUAGACCCUUAGGAGCUUGUCAUGUGGUUAAAAUCAAGAGUCACUUGCACGUUCACUCAUACAUGCUACUUCUACUCCGGAAGUACCAUCCACAUAUAUCCACUCAUUUCCAUCUCCAGAUUCACCCAAAAUUAUUCUACUCCUAAUCUGGGAGAGAAUAGCCAAAAAUAUUAUCCUAUCCCUGUUAUUCCCUGUGAAAUAAAUGCUCGAGUUAUCUUGGUUACUACCACUUGCUAUAUUAUUUAUGGAGAUGAGUGCUCUAAAAAAAGAAAAAAAUAAUAUACGAGGAAAUAAAAAGGGGCAAGUGCCCGGAACCUCAAAGAAAAGAAAAAGUGAGACGAGAGGUAAAAAUGGACAAGUGUCCGACAGUAGAAUUAGGGGUACAAGAUACCCACCUGAGAGGAAAGAAAAAGAAAAUAUAGAGCAUCUCAUUCUCCCCAAAAAGCUUCAAAGUGCAAGAAAGGUAUGUAUCCCCUUAAAAGAGCAAAAGUAGAAUUAGACUUCCACCAUCAUCAUCACCAUACACCAUUCAUUCGCCACACAUGCACAUCUUGAUUUGACUUAUUGACUUGUUCUUCUGGAUCCAUGGUUUGACUAUGCAAUAAAUGUCUUGUAAGUAUGUAUUAGCUGUCUCCCACCUAUGAGCUCCAGAUAUCAGAACCUUAUUAGGGUAGGGUGAGAGAGAAGGCAAUAUCACUAUGCCUCAUACCACAAAUACCACAUACUUUGAGAGAAGGCAUAUACCAUUACUGCCUUGGUAAGGAUCUAGAAAUACCACAAAAGAGAGAUCUGAGAGAGUGAUAUAAGGAAUCUCUGAGUUUUAUUUGAAAAUCUACAAAAACCCCAGAGCUAUAGCUGAUCAAGAAUAAGAGACAUGACGCUUGACUUGACCGUUCUAUCUUUUAACUGCUCAAGACACAAGUGACGGUUACAAGCCCCAUGGUGAAAGGUAAAAUGAGUAAGUUUUAAGUCUUAACAGUUUAUUCUAACUCAGAGAUGAGAUCUUGUUUGAAUGCGUGUGUACCUUUAAGGCAUGAAACCACUGCAGAAACUCUUGAGUCCAUCCUUGCUCAGGGACGAGCAAGAGGUAAGCUUGGGGGAGUUUGUUGACUGUCCUUAAGUAUCAAAUUUAAUUAUCAAAUAAACAAAGAAAAUGAUCCAAAUGAAAUCAACAUCUAGACUUAGGGUUUUAUUUGACAGAAUUCCAUGAGUUUUGGUGUUUGUCUAUUUCUGCAGGGGGUUAUCAGGAAAUAAGGAAGAAAGGCCCACAUGUCAGGAUUACAUAGAGAUAUCAACGCAUCGCGCAAUUUUCUACCAUCUAGAAGACUCCAGAAGGCACGAGACCGAAGGAGAGGCGAAACGGGGCCAGGACCUGGGCGCCCGCCCACCUGCUGAGCCCAAUCAGGACUCUUUCUCUCAGGAGAUCUCCACCGACCUAUUGGAUUCAGAAUAACGUAGUACCACCUCGCCUACCGACCCAAAAACGCAUAGAGGAGGAGGACUAUAUAAGGAGACCCCCUGGCCCCUGGAGGAGACAAGAAGUUAUCAUAGAGAUUGAGGGGUGCCCUCGAAGGAAAACCUCUUCUCUAAAUAAUAUUUCUUUUUAGGCUUAGCAACCAAUGUAAGUAGAAAUAGAUCUUCUAGUUUCUACUAGAAUGAGAGAGAUAGAGUGGAGGUGUGGAUCGGAGGAAGGCCGGCCUGUCGGUGUCUACUCCGAGUUGUACCUGCGGGAUCAAGUCUCCUAACCCGAGGCUUGCUUCUAAGAUUCUUCAGUAAUUUGACUUCUAAUUCUAGUAAUUUCUUGUUUUAUUGUUCUUUGGUUUAUGAGUUUACUUUAAUCCUCUUCCGGUUGAGUAUUAGAGUAAUCACUUGCUAGCGUAAACGUGGUGUUUAGGCUAGGGUACUCAUAGAUAUCCCCUGACUAGCUGGACCGUGGUAGUAGCGAGGAACGUGACAUUUUCGAGUUACCUUUGCAGAUCACAUCUCGUUAGCAGGACGGGUAGGUUUAUAGGUGCGGGUCGAACAUCUUUUGUGUUGUCUAGAUUCCGUGAGCCUCCCCAAUAGAACAGUAGAUCAUCCUUAUCAAGGUUAGAACGAGACUACGGUUGCAGUCUUCUCUAUACAUCGCUCACAUCGAGAAACAUUCUUUGUAGCCUAAAGGGAUAGUAGCAAUAGAUUUGGUUAGUCAGAUGCACCCUUUCUCCCAGUGGUAAAAAUAUAAAUACGAUAAUAUCCGUGCGCUUGCGGAUCAAUUCCUUAUUGCGUUACCAAAUAUCAACACGCUUGCGGAUUUUUCUGUUUGCGUUUAAAAUACCCAACAAUGGUGCUUAGGUUAAAAUGCCCUUCUAAAUCAAAUUAGACACAGUGUCUAGGUUGAUUUUUAAGCCGAUAGUAUGCUAUAGUAGAUAUGGGAUAUUUUGUUGGACAAACCCCUACAGGAAAACUUUCAAUAUCAACGUGGGAAGUCCCGAGAUAAACUCGCAUUGGAGAUGAAGAAAAUGACACAUGAAGUUUAACAAUUUGCACAAGAAAGACGUGGCUCAUAAGAGAUGAUUCAUGGAGGGUGCCACAAACACGAUGCACAACCGCUAAGAAAGGAAAGCUUCCACAAGGUGAUACUGUACCGUCACUCUUCAAGUAAUGUAACACCUUAAGGUACUUGACUAUCGCUUUUAUAAGCUUCUCCUUGGUUCUAGCAUUCACAUAAAUAAAGAGACAAACAUGUAUCAUUUAUAACUCCAGAUUAACCAACUCAAUUAAUUCAACAUGUUUAGUCCUUUAAUCUUUGUUCCUAGUACUACCUUCGUGAUCCCACGCUCCUAAACAUAUCGGCUAAUAUGUUGCACAUUCAAUAUGUGGAAGAUAUAAACAAAACAUAAAUAUAGAUAGAUUAUCUUUCCAUUAGGUUGAGCCAUCUGAUCUGACAAAUGUUUCAAAUACUACACUCAUGAUCUUAUUAUCCGUCAACUUUGUCUUGCUCACUAUGCUUAAGGUUAGAGAAGAACAAAUAUACUUUUGGUUCUGUUGGUGUUUUCCACCAACAGAGCCCAUGCACUUGAUCUCUGCCUUGUCUCUAUGAACAGGUACACUUCAAGCAAAACAUGGAGGAAUUUUACAACUCCCAGACUCCACCAAGUGAAGGACCUGGAUCUAUGAGCACAAACACACUGAGCAGGAAAUUGCCAACACCAUACUUCGAACUGCUGGGCAAAGAAGAACAUGGGUGACACCGUAUCAAGAGGUGCAGCCGCCAAGGUCCACACCUAAUCAAAUAAUGCACCUAAAGGAUGAAGAUGGUGGAAAGUAUUGUCCAGAAGACUUAAAACAUUAGAUCCUUGUCGGAAGAGGUCAACAUCAUCGACUCAAGUCACCUUUCUUAAUCAAGAAGGACGACCCUAGUGUUCCAAGCAUCGAGUGCGCAAUCAAUGGAUACUCUUUUCAGAAGACACUCUACGACACCGGAUCUGACGACAACAUAAUGGCCGCAGUCAUUUAUCAGCCUGCAUGGAACCAUGCCCCUACAACCAAUAUAUUCAGCUCCAGAUGAUUUUCAGGUCAUUGACAUGGGAGAAGACGAAUAUGAUCCACCCACCAUCCUUGGAAGACCGUUCCUCAACACUAUCAAAGCAAUCAUCUACAUUGGAACCGGAGAAGUCCACAUGUACUUCCCCUCUGAGAAGGUACGCAACUAUUUUACUAACCAUAACUAUAUAGUUGAAGACUCUAAGCAGGUCAGGACAAGAAGACGACGCAACCGCAACCAGAGGAGGCAAAUCAUCAAGAACGGAUGGGUAGACUACGAAGGAGAAGUGAUAAGGACUGACAGCUUGAACAGGACUGUCCUGAGGAGACCGUAGCACCGAGUCAGGUGUGGAGGGAGAAGAUAGUUAUACACGAAGAGAGGCGCCGCCGGAAUCACCGACUACGCCACCUAGCGAAUCCCAGGACGACUGAGAAAAUAGAGAGUCCCGUUCGGAGGACUUAAAAAUACCGAACGCCUUGCCAAGAGGUAAACUUGGUAGUUACCCUUUCCUUUCAAUUAUUUAAUUAUAAUUUGCUUAGUUAAUCAGGUUCAUGCUAUCUUGAAAAGAAAAUAAAAAUGUUAAAAAAAAUAGUAAGCCCCAUGUGAGUAUGCUCAUGGCAUAAAACCCAUAAGUACAUUCACUAUGGUGGCAUAAAAAUAAAAUAAAUAAGUUUUCAUCUUACAAUAAAAAUAUAAAUAUAAAUAAUAAUAAUAAUAAUAAUAAUAAUAAUAAUAAUAAUAAUAAUAAUAAUAAUAAUAAUAAUAAUAAUAAGUGUAUGAUCCUGCUAAAUAAAUAACAUUUAUUAAGGAAGCUCAACAUGAUGAAGGCCAGAUAUUUAUGCUAACACUUAAUUAGUUCCACAAGCUUUGUUGUCUAUUUGAGCUCCAUAGAACUUGAGAAUCAAGAAGACUAGCAGACGGAGGAUAUUCUAAUCGCUGUCAGAAUGCUGCUGACUUUCAAAUACACCUCUGCCACCUGCUAGCUACAUCAAGAGAAAUUACGUCAAAAUUCAGCUUCGGAGAGAGCACCCCCAUUAUUCUCGCUAAGUAUUUCUACCUAUCUUUAUACUUAUAUUAUGUUAGAAUAUUAAAAUACAUAAACUAUGAAAAAACAAAAUAAAGAUUUUGUGCUUAUAUAUAUAUAUAUAUAUAUAUCUUUUGCUUAGUAUGUUUAAUAAAUAAAUAAAGUGGCUAUUAAUCUGAAUCUUAAUAAUAAAACUCUAGCACGGA
RNAcentral lists this long non-coding RNA (6308 nucleotides) under Sorghum bicolor (sorghum). RNAcentral describes it as "long non-coding RNA (SBIC_LNC014563)". The record is from RNAcentral. Lineage: Eukaryota; Viridiplantae; Streptophyta; Magnoliopsida; Poales; Poaceae.